CAGGUAGGUGGGUAUGCAAGUCGGUUGUGAAAUCCUCUGGCUCAACCAGAGAAUGGCAGCCGAAACUACAUACCUUGAGUCCAGCAGAGGGAAUCGGAAUCCUAGGUGUAGCGGUGAAAUGCGUAGAUAUCUAGGAGAACACCAGUGGCGAAGGCGGAUUCCUGGGCUGGCACUGACACUGAUCUGCGAAAGCGUGGGUAGCAAACAGGAUUAGAUACCCUGGUAGUCC
This 229-nucleotide ribosomal RNA is filed under the name uncultured bacterium. RNAcentral describes it as "partial 16S ribosomal RNA". It matches the Rfam family "Bacterial small subunit ribosomal RNA", at positions 568 to 796 of the family's 1533-position model. The record is from RNAcentral.